Long non-coding RNA from Perca flavescens (yellow perch), 1408 nucleotides. RefSeq lists it as uncharacterized. NCBI's taxonomy places the organism in Eukaryota, Metazoa, Chordata, Actinopteri, Perciformes, Percidae. The record is from RefSeq and is a predicted model, not a curated record. The transcript has 5 exons.
AGCUAGAAGAAUAAAUUGGUGGACUAUUAUCCUAUGCAAUCAUCUGCGACCAGACGAGUAGGAAACCAAAGCAAAAUGUUUGUCUACCAUCUGGAAGUGGAAGGAUGCUGUGUUGUAGAGUUUCUCAAGCUUCUCUCUCCCUCCCUCAAGCAGGACUAUUGGCUCACUGUCCUGGAGGCCAGCUUCUUCAUUGCUCCAGACUGAAGAUGGGAGAGUUGAAGGACGUGGUUUGGCAGGAUGUUUGAGCCAUUGUGAAGGUGAUGCCCAAAAUGGAUCUUGCCAGCAAAGGUUUUCCCUUCAUAAUCGGUGGAACAACUCCAGUCCGAGAGCUGCAGACUCUUGCACAGGAAACCCUGCCAGGCCCACAGCAGCAGCCACUGGUACAGUCGCAGGUCACAACCAAAGUUCAGCCUGGGCCUCCACCUGCCUCACAUGUUGCCUGAGCUGCAGCAGUACAACCUGAAUUGCCCUGACCCAUUUCAAGCAGAUGGACGAGAUGUUGGACCAGGACGGCAUGUCUGAAGUGAUGUUCAACAUCAGCCGUGUUGCAGUUGCGUGUCCUUCCCAGCACAGACGCUGCUGUCCACUGUGUACCUUGGGAACACCGCUGUAUUGUGGGCUUAUUGCUGGUGAGCAACGCAGAGGGAAGUCCGGUUUUGCUACAUUAAUCUUCAAAGGAAUUUAGGAUUCAGUGUCCUCGCCACAAAAAAACAUGUUCCAGACACAUACUGCAAAUAUGCACGAAACCUAUCGCAUGUAUUUCUAAUAGUCCUUGUCAUAGCAUCCGGCUGUUCAGUAAACCCUUUGAGUCAGGGCAGUUGCGUACAUCACAGGAAUGACUUACUGAAGCUGUUUUGCAGAGGUGACUGCAAUGGGUUUGACAGUGCCUGUGGAUUCCUCCUGGAGGGAUUUCAGUUUUUGUGAUUGCUUUGCAUCAUCAGAGGCCAAAGCUCAUCUUAAAUAUCUGCAUGUUCUCUGUGAGGUUCGGUCAGCCAGCAGUGAGCCUCAGGCUUGGUAAUGUGUACGUUUGGUCAAAGGUUGGGGGGCUAAGCAAUAUGACACAAAAUUCGUAUCGUGAUAGUCGUAACCCUAAAUCCCUGUAAACAAGAUUGUCUUUUGCAGAAAUGUAACCCAACGUCACCUUGUGUUGGCCAAUCAUGUAACCGGCGGUCAGACUUGGCAGUCUGUUGUCAAGGCAGUGUGUGUCCGGUAUAGUAAACCUGCCUGACACAAGAACGUUUUUAAACACGGAGGGUAAAAAACCGAAACGCACGCUCUUUAUUCACCAGGAGUUUGUGCAACGAGCUCCAGCACAAAGCAGUCCCUCGCUCUCUCUUCUUUCUCCUUGAAAUGAAGCUGCCUUCAAGUGCGGUUGGAAAUUUCUAUCUGUAAACGAUCUGAGGGAAAA